RNAcentral lists this long non-coding RNA (803 nucleotides) under Daucus carota (carrot). RNAcentral describes it as "long non-coding RNA (DCAR_LNC003025)". The record is from RNAcentral. Lineage: Eukaryota; Viridiplantae; Streptophyta; Magnoliopsida; Apiales; Apiaceae.
GACACUCUUAUCCAAUCAACCCAUACAAAACCCUGAGUAUACGGGUUAAACUAAAGUUUCCAUCUUUUUCUUUUUCUUAAUUUACUUUUUUUAAUUUUAAUCCAACAUCCGUAUAAAUAAAUAAAUAUUUACUAAUCUGUAUGUUUCAUGGGUUUUUGCUUAACGUCAUUUGAUGGUUUUAUUAGUUCAUGCAACUUUUAGUCGUGAGUCAUGAGCAACUCAACUCCAGAUUCCAAUCUACUUUGUGGGUGUUUUGCUUCGCAUUAGGCGUAUAUUAUUUUCAGCCUUUGAUUUCAUCUUUAUUUGAACCUAUGUUUAGAAUUUGAUUUCAUUUGUAAAUUGUAAUAUCUGGAUAGAGGUGUUAUGGAAGCUCUCAAGUGGAUUCAAGAGUUAGAAGUCACCAAAGAUGACGUUGAAUGUGACUCCCUGCUCACUGUUCCAGCUAUUAAACGUGAAUCUAUCAACUAAUUGAAAGUGAGUUCUGUGCUUCUUGAGUGUUGUUCGAGGCUUCGUGGUCGUCCAAAUAUUUCUAUUUCGUUUGUUAAAAAAUAAAUCAAUAAGGUUGCCUACUUGUUAGCUAGACUAUCUUGUUAGGUUAAUUGUUUUAACGAUUUAUCGUCUCUGUAUUGGGUGACUCUCAUGUAUGAUGCUUCGUUGAUUUAAUAUAUUCCAUGCUUUCAAAAAAAAAAGGUCGUUCACACUAUCUACAGGUGGGGUGCAGUGCGGACUAUUAACUUGGGCAGUUAGGUCGGGAUCCAAGAUUUUCUAGAGCCCCGAUUAUCUGGGUAUGUCAUAUAUGUCAG